Molecule: small nucleolar RNA, 116 nt
Organism: Elaeis guineensis (African oil palm)
Lineage: Eukaryota; Viridiplantae; Streptophyta; Magnoliopsida; Arecales; Arecaceae
Product: small nucleolar RNA U19
Source: RefSeq, a predicted model, not a curated record
ACCUGGCUUAGUUAAGGGACACACAAUGAUAAGAUUUCCAUCAACCAUCUCAGGCCCUUUUGAUAGGAAUCCAUCUCUAUUUCUAUAUGGCAUCCUCCAAGUAGCCUUAGACAUCG